UGGGGAAUUUUGGACAAUGGGCGAAAGCCUGAUCCAGCCAUGCCGCGUGCAGGAUGAAGGCCUUCGGGUUGUAAACUGCUUUUGUACGGAACGAAACGGCCUUUUCUAAUAAAGAGGGCUAAUGACGGUACCGUAAGAAUAAGCACCGGCUAACUACGUG
Molecule: ribosomal RNA, 160 nt
Filed under: tylosin-resistant soil bacterium cfr1
Lineage: Bacteria; Pseudomonadati; Pseudomonadota; Betaproteobacteria; Burkholderiales; Comamonadaceae
Also listed under: 1 other name
Description: partial 16S ribosomal RNA
Rfam family: Bacterial small subunit ribosomal RNA
Source: RNAcentral